AAAAUCCCCAAAUUCAAAAAUUCCCAAAAUACGAUGCUCUCUCUCUCAUGACUGCAAGCAACGACAUUGGUAGCAGCAGCAAGAGGGGACGAUGGCGAGUAGCGAGCGACGAUGGUGAGCAGCGAGUGAUGACGGCUAGCAGCGGCUGCGGCGGUGAAAAAGCGAGUCCCUGAAUCGCUCAACAUCUCUUUUUGGUUCACUACUGCUCCUCCUCCAUCGGCUCACGACUCUUGCCUCGACCACGACCACGACUACGACAACACCAAAUAUCUACAUCCACUGUCACCACUACUUUUUCUUCUUCCUCCGAAUCUGCCGCCUCAUCCGCCUCCGUAGAGUCUCUGGUUCGGCCCUUCGUUUGCUGUCAGAUUAGAGCCUCUAAAGCCGAAAUCAUAGAUCCAUUGAGCUAAGUGAUAGACAAUUACAAGAAUGCCCCUCAAUAUCUUUACGACUUAAGUCCUUCACAAAUGGACAUGUUCAAGACUGAAGAUAAUUCCAUCCACCGACAAUCUGAAAGUGUCACAAAGGAUUGUGUUAGCAGUAACUGAGCUUCUUGUUGCUUAGUUCAUGUGGUUGGAUUAUGAUAACCCAUCAAAGCCUAUAUAUCUAUAUAUAAAUUCUUCUGGGACUCAGAUACUUCCCGAGUAGGAGUUUGCUUCUUAUGGAAUGCAUGCUUGUGAAAAAUGCAACUAACUUUUGUUUUGUUACCUACGGAGAAUAAUGAGGAAAACUUUUGUUUUUGGUUUAUGUUAUUUUGAAUUGUAAACAACAUUAUGUAUUUAAACAUUAUAUAUGUAUUAUGGAACAUUAUGUAGUGGAAUAAUUUUGUUGAUGUAUGGUUAUGAAUGCAAGAACAUUUUUAUUAUGGAGAAAUUGUUAUUUCUAUA
Camellia sinensis is the source of this 887-nucleotide non-coding RNA. The record is from RefSeq and is a predicted model, not a curated record. NCBI's taxonomy places the organism in Eukaryota, Viridiplantae, Streptophyta, Magnoliopsida, Ericales, Theaceae.